UUGGAGGAAAGCAGGGGAUCGCAAGACCUUGCGCUUUUGGAGUGGCCGAUGCCUGAUUAGCUAGUUGGUAGGGUAAUGGCUUACCAAGGCGACGAUCAGUAGUUGGUCUGAGAGGACGACCAGCCACACUGGGUCUGAGACACGGCCCAGACUCCUACGGGAGGCAGCAGUGGGGAAUUUUGGACAAUGGGCGAAAGCCUGAUCCAGCAAUGCCGCGUGAGUGAAGAAGGCCUUCGGGUUGUAAAGCUCUUUCAGUCGAGAAGAAAAGGUUGUGACUAAUAAUCACAACUCAUGACGGUAUCGACAGAAGAAGCACCGGCUAACUACGUGCCAGCAGCCGCGGUAAUACGUAGGGUGCUAAGCGUUAAUCGGAAUUACUGGGCGUAAAGGGUGCGCAGGCGGCUUUGUAAGUCAGAUGUGA
Molecule: ribosomal RNA, 421 nt
Filed under: uncultured ammonia-oxidizing beta proteobacterium
Lineage: Bacteria; Pseudomonadati; Pseudomonadota; Betaproteobacteria
Description: bacterial SSU rRNA
Rfam family: Bacterial small subunit ribosomal RNA
Source: RNAcentral